CAGCAGCUGCGGUAAUACAGAGGGUGCGAGCGUUAAUCGGAUUUACUGGGCGUAAAGCGUGCGUAGGCGGCUUCUUAAGUCGGAUGUGAAAUCCCUGAGCUUAACUUAGGAAUUGCAUUCGAUACUGGGAAGCUAGAGUAUGGGAGAGGAUGGUAGAAUUCCAGGUGUAGCGGUGAAAUGCGUAGAGAUCUGGAGGAAUACCGAUGGCGAAGGCAGCCAUCUGGCCUAAUACUGACGCUGAGGUACGAAAGCAUGGGGAGCAAACAGGAUUAGAUACCCCAGUAGUCCCUGUCUCUUAUAC
RNAcentral lists this ribosomal RNA (301 nucleotides) under uncultured bacterium. RNAcentral's name for it is "partial 16S ribosomal RNA". It matches the Rfam family "Bacterial small subunit ribosomal RNA", at positions 509 to 807 of the family's 1533-position model. The record is from RNAcentral.